AAUGUACUCCCUCCGUCCGGAAUUACUUGUCGGAGAAAUAGAUGUAUCUAGACGUAUUUUACUUCUAGAUAGAUCUAUUUUUAUACAUUUCUGCGACAAGUAAUUCCUGACGCAGGGAGUAUUCU
Non-coding RNA from Hordeum vulgare subsp. vulgare (domesticated barley), 125 nucleotides. Lineage: Eukaryota; Viridiplantae; Streptophyta; Magnoliopsida; Poales; Poaceae. The record is from Rfam.